This is a non-coding RNA of Irpex rosettiformis, 104 nucleotides long. The record is from the annotation of a GenBank genome assembly. NCBI's taxonomy places the organism in Eukaryota, Fungi, Basidiomycota, Agaricomycetes, Polyporales, Irpicaceae.
UGCCCCAUGGCUGAGUUGGUCACAGCGUCCGACUGUUACUGCGAGGCGUCACCUCAAAGUCAAACGUGAUCGGAAGGUCGUGAGUUCGAGCCUCACUGGGGCAG